CGGCGUGCCUAAUACAUGCAAGUCGAGCGGAUCUUUGGGAGCUUGCUCCCGAAGAUUAGCGGCGGACGGGUGAGUAACACGUGGGCAACCUGCCUAUGAGACUGGGAUAACUCCGGGAAACCGGGGCUAAUACCGGAUAAUUCUUUUCUACACAUGUAGAAAAGCUGAAAGAUGGUUUCGGCUAUCACUCAUAGAUGGGCCCGCGGCGCAUUAGCUAGUUGGUGAGGUAACGGCUCACCAAGGCGACGAUGCGUAGCCGACCUGAGAGGGUGAUCGGCCACACUGGGACUGAGACACGGCCCAGACUCCUACGGGAGGCAGCAGUAGGGAAUCUUCCGCAAUGGACGAAAGUCUGACGGAGCAACGCCGCGUGAGUGAUGAAGGUUUUCGGAUCGUAAAACUCUGUUGUUAGGGAAGAACAAGUACCGGAGUAACUGCCGGUACCUUGACGGUACCUAACCAGAAAGCCACGGCUAACUACGUGCCAGCAGCCGCGGUAAUACGUAGGUGGCAAGCGUUGUCCGGAAUUAUUGGGCGUAAAGCGCGCGCAGGUGGUCUCUUAAGUCUGAUGUGAAAGCCCCCGGCUCAACCGGGGAGGGUCAUUGGAAACUGGGAGACUUGAGUGCAGGAGAGAAGAGUGGAAUUCCACGUGUAGCGGUGAAAUGCGUAGAGAUGUGGAGGAACACCAGUGGCGAAGGCGACUCUUUGGCCUGUAACUGACACUGAGGCG
This 730-nucleotide ribosomal RNA is filed under the name Bacillus sp. (in: firmicutes). RNAcentral describes it as "bacterial SSU rRNA". It matches the Rfam family "Bacterial small subunit ribosomal RNA", at positions 40 to 753 of the family's 1533-position model. Lineage: Bacteria; Bacillati; Bacillota; Bacilli; Caryophanales; Bacillaceae. The record is from RNAcentral.